AUUCCACUUAAGCCUCUUUGCUUAGUGUUGGGAAUCUACUCCGGCGGUGCUACCCGGGACUUACCCUGUAGCUACCCUGUAGUUCCUCAAAGACAGCGGCGGAGACGUGGUAUCCUCUGAGCUUAGUAACUUGUUCCUAGCUUUCGAGUGGACCGCGCCCCUUGCCGUAAAACACCAUACUUUUCAAU
This 188-nucleotide unclassified non-coding RNA is filed under the name uncultured Dactylaria. Its description in RNAcentral is "sequence contains ITS2". Lineage: Eukaryota; Fungi; Ascomycota; Orbiliomycetes; Orbiliales; Orbiliaceae. The record is from RNAcentral.